Non-coding RNA from Picea glauca (white spruce), 115 nucleotides. Lineage: Eukaryota; Viridiplantae; Streptophyta; Pinopsida; Pinales; Pinaceae. The record is from Rfam.
GGUUGCGAUCAUACCAUCGUUAAUGCACCGCAUCCCAUCGGAACUUUGUAGUUAAGCGGGCUUGGGCUAAAGUAGUACUAGGAUGGGUUGUGGGAAGAGGCGGCAUGGGCGGGCA